AAAGUACUCCCUCCGUUCGGAAUUACUUGUCUUAAAAAUGUAUAAAAGUGGAUGUAUUUAGAACUAAAAUACAUCUAGAUACAUCCAUUCCUUCGACAAGUAAUUCCGAACAGAGGGAGUAAGUG
Molecule: non-coding RNA, 125 nt
Organism: Triticum aestivum (bread wheat)
Lineage: Eukaryota; Viridiplantae; Streptophyta; Magnoliopsida; Poales; Poaceae
Source: Rfam